This 253-nucleotide ribosomal RNA is filed under the name uncultured bacterium. RNAcentral's name for it is "partial 16S ribosomal RNA". It matches the Rfam family "Bacterial small subunit ribosomal RNA", at positions 524 to 776 of the family's 1533-position model. The record is from RNAcentral.
GACGUAGGAUGCGAGCGUUGUCCGGAAUUAUUGGGCGUAAAGAGUUCGUAGGCGGUUGUAUAAGUCUGUUGUUAAAGAUCAGCGCUUAACGUUGGUAGGGCAAUGGAAACUGUAUGGCUAGAGUGUGUCAGAGGUCAAGGGAAUUCUCGGUGUAGCGGUGAAAUGCGUAGAUAUCGGGAGGAACACCAGUGGCGAAAGCGCUUGGCUGGGGCACAACUGACGCUGAGGAACGAAAGCCAGGGGAGCGAAAGGG